RNAcentral lists this transfer RNA (60 nucleotides) under Rhinophis phillipsi (Phillipps' earth snake). RNAcentral's name for it is "tRNA-Ser". Lineage: Eukaryota; Metazoa; Chordata; Lepidosauria; Squamata; Uropeltidae. The record is from RNAcentral.
GAGAAGUCAACAAGACCUGCUAACUCUUUAAUCUGGUAUUAAAUUUAUCCAGCCUUCUCU